AGAACGAACGCUGGCGGCAUGCCUAACACAUGCAAGUCGAACGCUCUCUUCGGAGGGAGUGGCGCACGGGUGAGUAACGCGUGGGAACCUGCCUUGGAGUGGGGGAUAACCGAUGGAAACGUCGGCUAAUACCGCAUACGUCCUGAGGGAGAAAGAUUUAUCGCUCUGAGAGGGCCCGCGUCGGAUUAGCUAGUUGGUGGGUAACGGCCUACCAAGGCGAUGAUCCGUAGCUGGUCUGAGAGGAUGAUCAGCCACACUGGGACUGAGACACGGCCCAGACUCCUACGGGAGGCAGCAGUGGGGAAUAUUGGACAAUGGGCGCAAGCCUGAUCCAGCAAUGCCGCGUGAGUGAUGACGGCCUUAGGGUUGUAAAGCUCUUUCGGCGGGGACGAUGAUGACGGUACCCGCAGAAGAAGCCCCGGCUAACUUCGUGCCAGCAGCCGC
This 444-nucleotide ribosomal RNA is filed under the name uncultured bacterium. Its description in RNAcentral is "SSU rRNA". It matches the Rfam family "Bacterial small subunit ribosomal RNA", at positions 26 to 518 of the family's 1533-position model. The record is from RNAcentral.